This is a long non-coding RNA of Zingiber officinale, 1610 nucleotides long. RefSeq lists it as uncharacterized. The record is from RefSeq and is a predicted model, not a curated record. NCBI's taxonomy places the organism in Eukaryota, Viridiplantae, Streptophyta, Magnoliopsida, Zingiberales, Zingiberaceae. The transcript is spliced from 4 exons.
AGUCAAAGACAACGCUUCGUAAAAAGCGUUGUCUAUUAGCCUUUUUUUUAGUGUCUACGACAACGAUUUUUAAAAAGCGUUGUCUACUGUCAAGUUAUCAUCUCAAUCUUAAGUGAUCUGGACCACUUAUCUCAAGAUCUGACGGCUGGAUCUUCAUCCAUCUUCAUCACAAUAUGGACGACCCAGAUUAAAGGAGGAGAAAACUUCGUUUCCUUUUACCCAUGCGACGAUACAGUGUUGGUGAUUCCUUUCUGUUCACGACAUCUCCUCUCGCGCGGCUAGGGCACGCGACCUCCCACCGCCGGCCAUCUCUUCUUCCUCACCACCGGCCGGCAGCUCUUUCUUCUCUUCACUGUCGCACAUACCCCUCAGGAAUCGGGAAGUGCGGUGGUGGAUUUCGCCGGCGAUGACGACGCCCAACAACCUUCCCAACGACGACCACCACCAGCGCCCACACCCUCCGCCCGACCCUCGAAGGCAGCGCCACUGCCUCGGCACGCCCAUCGCCACCCCUUCCUCCUCUUCCUCCGCCGCCUCCUUCAAGGGUUGCUGCUGCUGCCUCUUCCUACUCCUCACCUUCCUCGCCCUCCUCGCCGUCGCCGUCACCGUCGCUCUCGUCAUCAUCCUCGUCCUCAAGCCCAAGAAGCCCUAGUUCGACCUCCAGCAGGUGGCCGUGCAGUACCUCCUCGUCGCCCCAGUUUCAAAUCCAAGCUUGAGAACCCUAUUGUCAAGCUCUUCGACUGAAGAUUUUGGCUCUAGAUCGUUACUAGCUUUCUUGGUAGAGAAUGGAAAUUUGGGGCUUUCAUGGAACCCUAGAAACCAAACGGUGGGUGUGAGCUCAAAAACAGAAGGUGAGGUUGGAGCCAAUUCCAUUAAUUGCCUCUCGCCUCAACCGAAGUUGUUUGGUGACUCUAAAUCAAGCUCAUUUGGAGGGCUUGCACAGGGGAUGGCAACAAGAAAAGGUUUCAAUGUUCCAAAGCUUGAUACAGCCAACAUUCCAUUCACUAGCUUGAUACGGGCUUGAGGUGUCUCAUAGUUGGGAAGAUCGAAAAGAAAGAAGAUCCGAUGCGGAGAACUCUAAGGAUGAAAGACGAAGAUUAAGUAUUGGAGCUUUAAAGAAAAAGGCACUGAGUGCUUCUUCUAAGUUCACACAUUCUCUCAAGAAGCGAGGGAAGAGGAGAGAUGUUAAUAGGACUUCUUCUGUUUCAAUCGAGAAUGAUAGGGAUUUGGAAGAGGAGCACGAAGUAUACACAUUCCGCAAGGGGCUAAUUUCUAGGGACUUAUUGCCUGAUAAACAUGACGACUAUCACAUGCUGCUCAGGUUUCUGAAAGCUAGAAAAUUUGAUCGUGAGAAAGCAACUCUUAUGUAGGCAGAUAUGCUUUAGUGGAGACAGGAAUUUGGAGCAGAUACAAUUUUGGAUAUAUACAAUGGUAGGUGUUUUGUCCUAGUCUCAAGCCGACAAUUCUUUUUUAUCAGUAUAUCUAAUAGAAGUAAGCAUGCAGAUCGUUGUCUUCGAGGCCGACUAGCUAUUUUGUGCUUUUUUUGUUUUAAAUUCGAAUGUCACUAUCUACUUUGAAACAGAACUAUUUAGUCUUUGUGUAUAGUUGAA